CCUACGGGUGGCAGCAGUGGGGAAUAUUGGACAAUGGGCGAAAGCCUGAUCCAGCCAUGCCGCGUGUGUGAAGAAGGCCUUCGGGUUGUAAAGCACUUUCAGUGGGGAAGAAAGCCUUGGGGCUAAUACCCUCGAGGAAGGACAUCACCCACAGAAGAAGCACCGGCUAACUCCGUGCCAGCAGCCGCGGUAAUACGGAGGGUGCGAGCGUUAAUCGGAAUUACUGGGCGUAAAGCGCGCGUAGGCGGUCUGAUAAGCCGGUUGUGAAAGCCCCGGGCUCAACCUGGGAACGGCAUCCGGAACUGUCAGGCUAGAGUGCAGGAGAGGCAGGUAGAAUUCCCGGUGUAGCGGUGACAUGCGCAGAGAUCGGGAGGAAUACCAGUGGCGAAGGCGGCCUUCUGGACUGACACUGACGCUGAGGUGCGAAAGCGUGGGUAGCAAACAGGAUUAGAUACCCCAGUAGUC
This 465-nucleotide ribosomal RNA is filed under the name Vreelandella stevensii. RNAcentral describes it as "partial 16S ribosomal RNA". It matches the Rfam family "Bacterial small subunit ribosomal RNA", at positions 338 to 795 of the family's 1533-position model. Lineage: Bacteria; Pseudomonadati; Pseudomonadota; Gammaproteobacteria; Oceanospirillales; Halomonadaceae. The record is from RNAcentral.